Molecule: ribosomal RNA, 378 nt
Filed under: uncultured eukaryote
Lineage: Eukaryota
Description: partial 18S ribosomal RNA
Rfam family: Eukaryotic small subunit ribosomal RNA
Source: RNAcentral
CAAUAGCGUAUAUUAAUGCUGCUGCGGUUGAAACGCUCGUAGUUGGACUUUGGGGUGUGCGCUGUGGUCGGCCUCCGGGCUGUAUUGCAGCGCGUGUCCUUAUGCCGUUAGCACCUCCCCUGGCUUCGGUUGGGGACUCGGGGUGAUAUCGGCCGGUUACUUUGAAGAAAUUAGAGUGUUCAAAGCAGGCCAACGCCUUGAAUACAUUAGCAUGGAAUAACAGAAUAGGACUUUGGUUCUUUUUGUUGGUUUCAAGGACUAGAGUAAUGAUUAAUAGGGACAGUUGGGGGCAUUCAUAUUCGACUGUCAGAGGUGAAAUUCUUGGAUUAGUCGAAGAUGAACUACUGCGAAAGCAUUUGCCAAGGAUGUUUUCAUUAA